Oncorhynchus keta (chum salmon) is the source of this 778-nucleotide long non-coding RNA. RefSeq lists it as uncharacterized. The record is from RefSeq and is a predicted model, not a curated record. The transcript is spliced from 3 exons. NCBI's taxonomy places the organism in Eukaryota, Metazoa, Chordata, Actinopteri, Salmoniformes, Salmonidae.
CACAAUAAGGCAGUCUCCAAGGCAACUCCCGUUUUGCAGAUAGAAGUACGGUCUACUCAGACCGCAUCUCUUAGACGUGUAAAAGCUAUACGCAGACUGACAUUAUGCAUGUUGACAUGUGCGAGGAAACCUCACUUGAAUUUGUGAAGUCAAAUUCUCUCUGAAUACAUUUCAUUUUAUUUAUUUUUUUGACUCAGUAUUGUGCUUCUCUCUAGGGGUUGACUGAAGAGAACAUCAGAUAUGACACUAAUUAUAUAUAACGUAGUGUGUAAACGAUUACACAGUAAGUUCAGGAGAGAGGUGCUUGUUGUGUUGGUUACAUAUUUUUAGACUAGGUUUUUGCAUGAUGCCUCAGUGGUCUUUUGUAUGCCUUAUCUCUCUGCAUGUGCUCAUAGAGGUUGGUGUACUUCUCAUUUCCUUGUGCUAGAGAGAGAAAGAGAGAGAGAGAAGGGGAGAGAGAGAAAGAGAGAGAGAGAGAGAGAGAGAAGGGGAGAGGUGCCAGAGGGAGGAGGGCAUGUAGACAUAAAGUGAUAGAGAGAGAGAGAAGGGGAGAGGUGCCAGAGGGAGGAGGGCAUGUAGACAUAAAGUGAUAGAGAGAGAGAGAAGGGGAGAGGUGCCAGAGGGAGGAGGGCAUGUAGACAUAAAGUGAUAGAGAGAGAGAGAAGGGGAGAGGUGCCAGAGGGAGGAGGGCAUGUAGACAUAAAGUGAUAGAGAGAGAGAGAAGGGGAGAGGUGCCAGAGGGAGGAGGGCAUGUAGACAUAAAGUGAUAGAGAGAGAG